UUUAAUCAAUAAAGUCUAGCUGGGUUCGCUCAAAAAAAAAAAAAAAAAANNNNNNNNNNNNNNNNNNNNNNNNNNNNNNNNNNNNNNNNNNNNNNNNNNNNNNNNNNNNNNNNNNNNNNNNNNNNNNNNNNNNNNNNNNNNNNNNNNNNNNNNNNNNNNNNNNNNNNNNNNNNNNNNNNNNNNNNNNNNNNNNNNNNNNNNNNNNNNNNNNNNNNNNNNNNNNNNNNNNNNNNNNNNNNNNNNNNNNNNNNNNNNNNNNNNNNNNNNNNNNNNNNNNNNNNNNNNNNNNNNNNNNNNNNNNNNNNNNNNNNNNNNNNNNAAAAAAAAAAAAAAAAAACCCAAAGAGUCUUGGCCCCGCCUCGCGGGAGCCAUGGCCACGCCCCACGCGCUCGGCCGCCGCUCGCCUGGAUCCCUCCGGUAGGUCAUCCCCCACUCACUCGCCCCCCUUUCCCUUGGCCUACUACUAGCCUUCAGCCCUUUUCCGUAGCACGCACAUCUGACCCGUCAGCCGCCUUGGGUUUCGUCGGGCGCUUCGGUGUGGCCUGGCCAUGGCGCUGCCAUAGGUCUGGGUUGGGGGUGGGGUAAGUGAGCGCAUGGUUCCACUCCACCGGUGCAGAGACCAUGGUUCUUUGGUCUUCGGUUUCUAUUUGUUCAUGGGCGAUUGGAUUUAUACCGUGUUACAUUACAUUUUCUUCCACGUUUAAUCAGCUAUGCUACUAUUGCUAGCUCCUGCUUGCCCACAAUGGGCUCUCUAGUCUCAACAUGCCCCAUUUUUCUUCCACAAUAUCUUGAGAUUUUAUGCAUAUCUCGUUUAUAUAUCCAGCAGUAUGCACCAGACGAAGUAAUUGAACAAUUUGUUUAAUUGUUUUGAUUACGUUAUAACGGCCAAUUCUUCAUCAUUCUGCUGAUUGCGGUGAGGAAUUUUCUCAACAACCUUGUGUCGUGAGUUUGUGACUCAUGACCUGGUGACGAAAAGUAGAGGCAAUCAUAGUUGGAAACCUGAGGCUGCCAUUACAAUUUGUAUUUUUGUGUGUUACAUACAAGCAUUGCCUUGAGUUUCCUUUAUACGCCUCCUCUUUUCCUACAUGCUAAUAAACUCUUCUGGUUUUCCAAAAGUCCGAGACUAUGUUGGCCUCUUCAUCACCUGCUGCAAUGCAACCCACGUUCAUAUCAUCUCAAUCAGGAUAUAGCAGAGCAAAUGCAGCACUGCCUCCUUUUCCAGGCUCAGAAGGUGAACUCUCCUGUCUGUAUGUACAUGCUUGACUUUCCAGAUUACAACCAUGGAAGAUUCAUCCUUAUGGCGACGAUACAUCAUCAUUGUUGAAACUGUAUGGCGCGGCGCUCGAGUAGCCCGUGCUCGUGCUGCUGACCUGGGCAGCUUCAUACUCCUGUCCAAGAGUCCGCAGCCUGUUCAACUCUGGCAAGAUUUCUUUCCCGAGAUCUGGCCGGUCCUUCUUCCGUAGCUCCGCACAUUUCAAAGCCAGCUGCGUGAACACCAGGGCCUCUUCCACUGGCCAGUCUGUCACCGUCGGGUCAAGUACCUCCUGGAAAGCCCCUUUCUCUAUGGCAUGCUCGACUUGGUGCGUGAGGCCCAUGGGGGACCUGGCUGUGACGAUCUGGAGCAGCAGGAUGCCGAACGAGUAUAUGUCGGACUUGGUGGUCAGCAUGCCCGUCUGCUGGUACUCGGGGUCUAUGUAGCAAAAUGUGCCGGCUGUGGACGUCAUCCUGUACUGUGUGACUUCUGCUAUGGACUGUGGCACCAGCCUCGCGAGGCCAACGUCGCUGAUCUUGCUGACGAAGUUGUGGUCGAGGAGGAUGUUGCCAGGCUUCAGGUCUCGGUGCACAAGUGGUUCUGGCUUCGCCUGGUGGAGGAAGAGAAGGCCGGUAGCGAUGUCUGCAGCAAUUCUGAAGCGGAUGUUCCAUGGGAUUGGCUUGGUGUUGCCUCUUCUGCAUAGCCGGUCCUCUAGGCUUCCGUAGUCCAUGUACUCGUACACCAAGCAGCCAUACUCGGGGCAUGCUCCGAGCAACAGGACCAUGUUUGGGUGCCGCAUGCUGCUAAGUAUUUCAAUCUGCAAAGUAUUGAUCAUGGCUUCAUUUGCAUAAGGAAAAUGCUGCUAAAGACUCAAUAGCUAGAUGAGGCCUCCUAAAACAAAUAAAAGAAAACCUGCUUCCUGAUGUCGAACAUAUUUAUUACCAGUAAAAGAGAAGGAAUGCGCUUGGUAUUUAUAUGGCUCAGUAAUAUGUAAGUACUGAAAGCAGCCCUGAAUAGACUGAAAAAUAAUGAAACUAUGACUGCAUAACUAUGAAGGUCUUGGGAUUUGCAAUGCUGUAUUGUAUUUACCUCUUGCUGAAACUGUUUCCUUCCCUGUGAUGCGUCUGGUCUUAGGAUUUUAAUAGCGACAUUGGUAUGAUCCAAUACAGCUUUAUAUACUGGUCCAUAUCCACCUUCGCCUAUCUUGAGUGCCCUGUCAAACUUAUGCGUGGCAGCCUCUAUAUCAUCGAUGGAAUACCUUCUGUACCGGAGAUCCGUCUCCGAUGCUCUCCUUCUCUCCUCGAACUCGCGCUUUGCCUUCCAUUCUGCUCUCAAUCUCUUCUGCGCCUCGAGCUCUGCAAUUUUUUGGGCAGCUUCUGCUGCCUCCAGUGCAGCUUUGCACUUUGCCUUCUCCAUUUCAACAAGUGCAAGAGCUUCUUCUUCUGAACUCCUUAGUUCUUGGUACAAUUUAGACUCUUCCACCUUCAUCUGGGACAGCUGAGCUGCCUGCAGUUAUAUUAUUUAUUUCAUUAUAUCAAGAGAGUUUGGUCGGUUUAGGAACUGCUUGACGUUAUACUCAGGUCCAUCUAUUUACAUGUAUAAACAGUACCUUCUGUUUGGCGUCAAGUGCUUCCUUACAUGCGGAGUUAUACAUUUCCAUUGUCUGCUUCAGCUCUAGUCUCAGUCGUCUCAUCUCAGCUUCUACAUCCUUCUGCAUUCAAGCGAAGCAAAAUAUGAAUUCAUGACCCAGUACCAAACAACUUCAAAUCAAUGUCCAGCUUGCAAAGUUUUGAUCCACUGUAGCGACUUAAUGGUUACAAUGCUCUUACCCCGGCUGAACUUAGGCUUUCCAAGGAUGCAUAUGAUGAUAGUUCCAGAGAUUCAGCAUAAUCCACAGAAUUUAACUCCAUGCUCAUGGGAAAAUCAACGUCAUCUGAAAAGGAGCUGCGAGUCACGGAGGGCCUUGGUGGUGCAAUGAAGUCGAUGUAGUCGUCGAAAUCCUUUUGAGGUGCUUGCCUUCCAGAGAGGAGAUGCCUAUCUCUUGUUGGGACCUUUGCGUAGCCAGAUAACCGGUCUACUGAUGUUCUACUUGUCCUCGGUGACGAUGGGUUAGAAAACUUUCUCCAUUCUCUUGAUGAUCUAUUGUACAAAAUGAGAUAUUGCUUAUACUAGGUAUUUAAUUAAAAAACAUAUGCUAACUACUGAAGGUAACCAUAGUGACCAACUGACCAUCUAACCAGUAAAUGACAUGUUAUUUUCUAACCGUAAACUGAAUUUCCGCUAACCAUGUAGGUUCAGGAACAUGCAAUGUAUUUAUUGGAGUGCUAUCUGUGUUCUUCACAAACUUACCUUGCGAAUGCAUCGGGUUCGAUGUUUGGUUGGGAGUUUUGCUUCGGAGGGAGAGUACUAAAGGGUGCUGGAGCUUUGGCUGCCUUCACUUGGACGACCUUCCCUUUGUGUAUAACAUGCACUGUGCAAUAAUCAGGCGCCAUCUUCAUCAAGCAUGUUGGCACAUCAGGAUUUCUAAAUCUUCUGCAUGGUGUAAAGUCCAUGCCUGUGUUCAGUAUAGGUAUAUAUCAAAGGUAUGUAAUGGUGCAUGACCAUCAAGUAUGGAUGAGUAGGCACCUGAUGAAUGUGUUCCUAGAGGAUGCUCCAACUACGAUAUCUGUGAUGGCAUGACCAGUAGCAUAAUCAAUUAUUGCUUUGGAGAUAUCACUGCCAUCCAAAAUCACCUCAUUCAGAUGCAUCUGCGAUUUGCAGUGGCAGUAUAUGUGAGUAUUACUUGUAUUAUUUUGAUUCUAUUUGCUUCGUCUUGUUAUUAUUAUUGUUAUUAUCCUCCUGCCGUAGUACCAAAACCUUAUAUUUCAAGAAUCCUUGGUAUGUAUCAGCUAUUGUAGAUGGUGCACUCUAUUUUUUUGUCUGCUCUGCUAUAGUGGCAUGCCAAUUUGAGCUAACAUCUACCAAUAUGCGAGAAGGCAGUGUUCUAGUAUUCAAUUGACACUCACCCCUUUACGAGCACAGUAGCCUCUGUAUGAGAUAAACAGUUGUGACAUCUCUGCAUCUGUGUCAACUCCGCGGCCUGCUUCCCCUGUAAUGUGGCCAUACCAAGAUAAAGUAGAGUAAGUGUUGAGAAGUUAAACCAUGUUAUAUAGGGGAAUAAAAUCUUUACUGGUCGCCUUAUGUAAUCAAUAGCUGUGGGGACUAGUGAAUAUGCACAAGUGUUAGUGUGUUACAACUAUGCAGUAAGUCAAAUUCAUUUUAGAACAAAAGCAAUCUGCAUCAUCCUACAAGGCGAUGCGCCUUUUCUCGUGUCUGGUAUAUUUUCCUACAAAACCGCUGUAAAAUGUGAUGGUGUAGCAUUAUCUGUUCAUCACAUGAUGACAUUAUGCACAUAACAUUGUCACAGUUCGUUUGUCGUCUAUAAAGUUAUUUCUACCUCAUCGCCAAACCUGGUAAUUUUAGGUAAAUUGGUCUGCUGUGAUGGUGAAGAGAUUACGAAAAUAAGGGUGGAAACUGAAGACCAUGGCGGUCAUAACUUGAGCCAGCCUGAUUUGGUCGGAGUCCAGAUGUAGGAAAAGGUCUCUUCUGACUUCCAUUCUUUCUUUCAUGCAGAUACCUCUUAUAGAGCAUAAAGAGACCGAGAAAUGUACCAACCGGUCUGGGUACUUUGGUUGGCCCUGACAUGGACCAACUGGAGGGUGCUCCCCCUGGCCAUGAGCCGGUCCACCGCCCAUUUCGCCGCCUGCUGGCUAUUCUUGUCCCGGUCGACGGCCACGAUGGUCGAGCUGUCCUUCCCGGCCUCGGGCUCCCCACUAUGCGACACUGUCGAGAAUGCCGAGAGGUACAUUUCUCAGCUCUCCGACCGACCAACGAAACAACCGACGGGAGGGAGAGGGAGAGGGAGACAAAAGGGGAAUUUUGUCCCUCUUCCUCCCCCUUUGCUUAUUUCUCCUGCCCUACCCUGCCCUGCCUUGGCCGGGGUCUCCUCGUCCCUUGCUGUCGCGACCAAAGCCGGCCGAAGCCUGCAAUGUUUGUUUUAGGGAGCUUAUGUUGUUUUUGCCAAGUUUGGACGCAGUGUGGUUGUGAGGGUUUUCUUAAUUUUCUGUGGCUCCUGUUUCCCCGGCUCUUAAGUAAGGGGUGUAGGCGGGAGGACCACCUGUUCAAUGAUGCCCACCUUUUUCCUUGUUUCUAAAAAUAGCAGCAGGUGACAGACAGACAGGGAUGUCGCUAGGCGCUUGCUGAGUUUCCUUUCUGAAUCUCUUGCGCAAAUUUUGCUACUGUGUAACUAACAAAUCUGCAGCCCUGUUAUAGUUUCGGUUUAACUAGCAAAAAAUCCGUGCAUUGCAAAGGGAAAUAUAAUUGAAGAUCUUAAAGAAAUAAACUCAUUAACGAUUAAUAUAUAAAUACAACAUAAAAAAUAUGUUGAUAUUUUAGCCGCGUUCAUAUUUUCUAUCCCUACAAAGCAACAUUUGUAUGUGAUCGUGUGCACCCUCAACUGUUUAAACGACAAUCAAAUCCAUUUUUUAUCAGUAGCCUCACACAAGCCUUCCUUAUUAAUCCCACCCGUUUGAAUCCUCCUUAUAUUAAGGAUUACAAUCCUUCUCAACCAUUUUCAAAUAUUCAGUCCAUAAUCAAAUACUUCCUUUUAAAUAUUAGCUACACAUAAUCCUUUCUUACCUUAUUAAAGGAUCCCAUGCAUUUAAAUAUUCUGCCAAGCCGACCACAAUCCUUCCUUGCCUUAUUAAGGAUCCCAUCCAUUCAAAUAUUCUGCCGAGCCCACACAAUCCUUCCUUUGAAUUAGUAUUUUAUUUAUAGCGUAGCACUUCCUUCUUAGAAACGGGACAUGCACCUCCUCACAUGUGUUUAAUUCCCAAGCAGUUCGUCCAUUGUCUAUUUGCUGACAUAUAUAAAUUGGUGUAAUUUUGUGCAAAACGGCGAGGUGGUACUAUUGAGUAAUACGAGCGAAAUCUUACCAUGAUGAUAUGCCAUAUGUGGCUUAUCCCACCAAGCUCCAGCAC
This 6270-nucleotide long non-coding RNA is filed under the name Hordeum vulgare. RNAcentral describes it as "long non-coding RNA (HVUL_LNC015455)". Lineage: Eukaryota; Viridiplantae; Streptophyta; Magnoliopsida; Poales; Poaceae. The record is from RNAcentral.